This 1144-nucleotide long non-coding RNA is filed under the name Homo sapiens (human). Its description in RNAcentral is "HSALNT0015480". Lineage: Eukaryota; Metazoa; Chordata; Mammalia; Primates; Hominidae. The record is from RNAcentral.
CUCUCAGGCUGGCCACAUGCCCACCCCUUUCCCAAAACAAACGAAUCAGAUACUGUACAGAUGUCUAGAAACAUCUUUUAUUUGGGUAACAGGUCCCAAAACAGGUCAGUUAAUAAAAUAGAUUCUAAAGAAUAUGUCCCUAUGCACAGCCCUCCCUCCCCAAAAAUAACGCUGGGGGUAGGCAUUGCCCUUCCCCCUUGGGCUCCUCGGGUGUAUUUAAAAAAAUGUUUUGGCAGCUCAGUGUUUAUCAUCUGGGCAUGGGACACCAUGUCCAUGUCCCCAUAUUCCUAGGGUACAGCAGCAGUAGAUGGCUGCAACAACCUUCCUCCUACCCCAGCCCAGAAAAUAUUUCUGCCCCACCCCAGGAUCCGGGACCAAAAUAAAGAGCAAGCAGGCCCCCUUCACUGAGGUGCUGGGUAGGGCUCAGUGCCACAUUACUGUGCUUUGAGAAAGAGGAAGGGGAUUUGUUUGGCACUUUAAAAAUAGAGGAGUAAGCAGGACUGGAGAGCCUGUCCUUAUGUAUAGUGUCCAACCUCUGAUUCUAGCAGUCAAGUGUCUUCCCCAAUCCUAAUGUCCCCUGAUAUGUCUCUAGCGACUUGACCAUCUCUUGUUCCUUGGGACUGGGGCCAGCCUCUUGUCUGCCCACUUCCCUCUCAUUAGUCAGAUAGCCCCAAAGGCUCUAUCUUUAGCUCCCAGAGAACUUUUUGGUCCUCAGUAUUUCCCUUCCCCUUUCCUUCCUAUUCCCCACAACUGGGGGAGGGAAGGGAGAACAGGGGCACCUGAUCAUCAAUCUCCCCUGCCCCUCUCUUGAAGCCCCCUAGAUUUGGAUGAAGAGCAGGCCAGUGAGCAGGGCAAAGCCUGCUAGGAGCAGAAUGACCUUGAGGAUCCUUUGCUCAGAACUGGCCAGCUCCUGGGGCAGGAUUUCCAGAAAGGUGAUAUAGAGAAAGGUGCCAGCUGCCAUGCCCUCUAGCACAGACUGGGCCAGCUGGUGCAGAGGUCCUGCCGACUCUGCCAGAGCUGCACCCAGCCCGAUGCCUAGAGGUGUCAUGCAUGAGAAGAGGAUCCCACAGCCAGCCACCACCUGUGCCCUAAGGCACGCAAGGCUGAGGGGGUUGCUGGGGCUCCACUCGCCUGUGGGACCCCU